RNAcentral lists this ribosomal RNA (292 nucleotides) under uncultured bacterium. RNAcentral describes it as "partial 16S ribosomal RNA". It matches the Rfam family "Bacterial small subunit ribosomal RNA", at positions 505 to 796 of the family's 1533-position model. The record is from RNAcentral.
GUGUCAGCAGCCGCGGUAAUACGAAGGGGGCUAGCGUUGUUCGGAAUUACUGGGCGUAAAGCGCGCGCAGGCGGCCAUUCAAGUCAGGGGUGAAAGCCCAGAGCUCAACUCUGGAACUGCCUUUGAAACUGUUUGGCUUGAGUACGAGAGAGGUGAGUGGAAUUCCCAGUGUAGAGGUGAAAUUCGUAGAUAUUGGGAAGAACACCGGUGGCGAAGGCGGCUCACUGGCUCGUAACUGACGCUCAGGCGCGACAGCGUGGGGAUCAAACAGGAUUAGAAACCCGGGUAGUCC